This 1930-nucleotide long non-coding RNA is filed under the name Gallus gallus (chicken). RNAcentral describes it as "lncRNA (ENSGALG00010006654.1)". The record is from RNAcentral. Lineage: Eukaryota; Metazoa; Chordata; Aves; Galliformes; Phasianidae.
ACACUUUACUGUGUAAAGGCAUCUGAUUAGCUCAGCUGAUCUGUGUCUAGUUCACCAGCUGCUGCAUAACCUCAAUUGAGUACUGGAAGACACAGCUACAUCACUCACCUGCUUUCUCGUGAGCAGGGCAAGUCCCAUCACCCUGAAAUCGCACUCCUGCACCCCUUUACAGGCAAGCGCACUUGUCUGACUCUGCAAGCAGCCUUCCUACGCUAGCAGAUAGGGCAGUAUUUACCUGCCUGUGAGGGGGACUAGUUCUUUCGCUGAAGCAGAAAAACAGUGCUGCUCCAGUUCACCAUGGGAAGAGAGGAUGACAGGACCAACCAGAUGGAAGUGGCAGAGAGCUGUGAAAGGGGUGAAGAAUGUAUGGAUUACCUCUUAGGUACAGCAAGUUAUGAGCUCAACUCAUGAUGUCAGCCCACGGCCUUGCUCAACUUGGUAUGGCCUCUUCUUCUGUUCCCCUUCGGACUUCUGCUUAGCAUCACUUGGAAAAUGUGCUCCUAUGGGUGGGACCUGAAGAAAGAUCUUUUCUCCCAGUUCCCCAAGCAAUCUACUUGGCUUACAGCUUCAUUUUUCACAUCUUGACUGAUCUAAAGAUGAGGCCAAAAAUUUUUAUUUGCUUCUGCUUUAUACGAACACAUGCACAUAGAAAUCCAUUACUGAGGUUAUGGGGACAGAGCAACUCAGAUGCUGACACGAUUUUUACUUAUAUGCACAUUUUGUGUGUAAGAUAGAAACUAAAUAUGCUAUUCUUCAGAGAGGCAGAGCAAAGUAAUUCCCAUAACUUUUGAAAGACAUUCCUACAAUAUAUUGUAGUAUUUUCUGAAAGUGUAUUUUAUGUUCACAAAGAGUUAUAAUCUUAGAACACAGAAUAUCCCAUGUUGGAAAGGACCCAUAAGGAUUGUCAAGUCCAACUCCUUACUCCACACAGGACCACCCAAAAAACAGGCCAUAUGACUGAGAGCGUUGUCCAAACACUCCUUGUGCUUGGGGCCAUACUCAUCGCAUUCUAGUGCAGAACUUUUCCCUAACCCCCAGCUGCACCUCCCUUGAUGGAGCCAUAGGCCAUUCCUGCCUGCCCUGUUGCUGUCACCAGAGCAGAGCUCAGUGCUGCCACUCCGUUCCCUGUGAGGAGCUGCAGUGGCUAUGAAGCUUCCCCUCAGCUCCUCUGCUCUGGGCUGAAGAAACCAUGAAGAAUCACACUGGGCCCCAUGGAUUUACAGGCAUCCAGGUGGAGCAGCAAAUCCCGUGCAAGUUCAGGGUUAGCUGGGAGUUCAUUUUCAUCACAUUGUUCAGAUCCCUCCUCCUCUAAGUCAAAGCCUUGGUUCAUUUUUCCUAGUAGAAUGUGUUACAAGGAUGAAAGCAUAACCUUUGAAGGCUGAAGAAAAAUUCAGAUGGCUUUUGUUCUACGUGCCAAAUAAUGUGAGAAAAAAAUGGGGAAAAAAAUGGAACACUUCAGUAUUUAGAAUGGAAACGGGAUUUAAAAUAUAUUUCCAUAUAUUAUUUAUUUUUUAGAACAAAACAAGGAACAGAAUCUCACUACUAAUUCUGUCAGUGAAUUAGUUUACAUCUAAUAAAAUUGCUACGUUAAACUGUGAAAGUCUGAUAGUGACUUCUGUAUGGCAAUUAAUUUUGCUAAAGAACAUUCUCAAGCGCGAGGAAGUCUAAUGCUUGUUUAAUCAAACACUGAAAUUAUUCUUUUUGACUGAAAAAGCCUGAUUUUUCUUUGCAGUUCCAACAAGUAUAGGAUGGCCAAGUGACUUCAAUUUUGUUAGGUCUUUGGAAUUUCUCUUUGGCCUUUCUGAUAAAGGGGAAACCUGACUUUUUUGCCUGUAGUUCUGUGUUCAUAAAAAGGCACAUCUUCUCUUAACUCUGAGGCUGCAGCAUAGUGGUGAAAACUAAAUAUUUUUUCACCAUUACAUGUAGGACU